CCAUAGCGUAUAUUAAAGUUGUUGCAGUUAAAAAGCUCGUAGUUGGAUUUGUGGCGUACGGUGGGUUCCGGGCACUUGUUGUCUGAGUAACUUGCUGUUGCCAUCCUUGGGUGGAACCUGUGUGGCAUUAGGUUGUCGUGCAGGGGAUGCCCAUCAUUUACUGUGAAAAAAUUAGAGUGUUCAAAGCAGGCUUAUGCCGUUGAAUAUAUUAGCAUGGAAUAAUGAGAUAGGACUUUUUUGCUAUUUUGUUGGUUUGCGCAAAGAGGUAAUGAUUAAUAGGGACAGUUGGGGGUAUUCGUAUUCCAUUGUCAGAGGUGAAAUUCUUGGAUUUUUGGAAGACGAACUACUGCGAAAGCAUUUACCAAGGAUGUUUUCAUUAA
RNAcentral lists this ribosomal RNA (380 nucleotides) under uncultured eukaryote. RNAcentral describes it as "partial 18S ribosomal RNA". It matches the Rfam family "Eukaryotic small subunit ribosomal RNA", at positions 592 to 976 of the family's 1831-position model. The record is from RNAcentral.